Molecule: ribosomal RNA, 107 nt
Filed under: Heterocephalus glaber (naked mole-rat)
Lineage: Eukaryota; Metazoa; Chordata; Mammalia; Rodentia; Bathyergidae
Source: RNAcentral
CUAUGGCCAUACCACCCUGAAUGUGCCCAGUCUCGUCUGAUCUGGGAAGCUAAGCAGGGUCGGGCCUGGUUAGUACUUGGAUGGGAGAAAUACAUUUGCUGAAUAGU